This 253-nucleotide ribosomal RNA is filed under the name uncultured bacterium. RNAcentral describes it as "partial 16S ribosomal RNA". It matches the Rfam family "Bacterial small subunit ribosomal RNA", at positions 524 to 776 of the family's 1533-position model. The record is from RNAcentral.
UACGGAGGGUGCAAGCGUUGUCCGGAUUUAUUGGGUUUAAAGGGUGCGUAGGUGGCUUAUUAAGUCAGUGUUUAAAGUCUGCAGCUUAACUGUAGGUAUGGCAUUGAUACUGAUAGGCUUGAGUAAAGUUGAGGUAGGCGGAAUUGAAGGUGUAGCGGUGAAAUGCAUAGAUAUCUUCAAGAACACCGAUUGCGAAGGCAGCUUACUACCCGAAUAUUGACACUGAGGCACGAAAGCGUGGGGAUCAAACAGG